Molecule: long non-coding RNA, 703 nt
Organism: Odocoileus virginianus texanus
Lineage: Eukaryota; Metazoa; Chordata; Mammalia; Artiodactyla; Cervidae
Source: RefSeq, a predicted model, not a curated record
CAGCCUGCACAGCAGGGGCCAGACACUAGCUCCAGGUUCGAGGAUCGGACCCAGGGACAAUGGGCCAAAGAUGCAUGGUCCAAGAGAGCCACCAGCCUGAACGCACAGCCUCCUGCUUAGCCCACAGGGCAAGGAAGUGAUGGUGAGCCCAAGGCUGACACCCCAUUGCACCCAGGCCUCAUCCUGACCCUCCAAGGGGCCACCCAACCACAACCUCGGGGCUGAGACAGGAAGCAGCGAGUAUCACUGAUGAACCACAGAGAGACCGUGAGCCCCUCCAGAAGCACAGUGAUACUCUGAUUAAGGACAGAUUCAUAAUCUGGGCCACAGCCAAGACUUUUAGACCCUCAAGGGAGCGCCUGGGGCAAAUGAUUCACUGAGAAGGAGUAGAGAGAGCAUGAGGGAAUUCUCUUUCACUGAAUUCAUCAUCUUCUGUGGGGCAUUUGGAUUUUCCUGUCAUCUAACUGGAAACAAGAAGCUGAAUUUUUAGAGUGCUAACCAAGGAUUCCAAGAAUGGAUACGUGGUUGAAAUAAGGAGGCGUUUCUUUGGGCGUGUUGGGACUGCAGCCUGCGAGACACAGAUUCAAGAAGCACUUGAAUUGUAUCCUGCAGGACUGACUGUACAAUGGGAGACUUAGAAAUGUCAAAAAAAAUGCAAGAUUACAAAAAUUGUUUGCCAAGAAUUGGGACUGGAGCUGGUGAA